RNAcentral lists this long non-coding RNA (755 nucleotides) under Pan troglodytes (chimpanzee). Its description in RNAcentral is "long non-coding RNA NONPTRT010212". The record is from RNAcentral. Lineage: Eukaryota; Metazoa; Chordata; Mammalia; Primates; Hominidae.
AAGAGCUGGAAGGUGAGGCCAGUGGAGGGAGGAGGGGGCAGGCUGGCACCAACACUGCUUUGGGACAUUCCAGCUCAGGACACACAUGCAGACUCAAACCGACAACCCGAUAUGGAACCAGAUCCUGACCUUCCGGAUUCAGCUACCCUGCCUCUCCAGCUACAUCAAGUUCAGAGUCUUGGACUGGUGAGCAACCUGGUGGAGGCUGAAGCACACAGGGAAGGAAGAAAUGAGAGCUGGGCCGGGGGCUCAGCCUAAGGAGUGUGUUUCUCUCCAGCCGCAAGAAGGACUGCCCGGAUGAGAUUGGGACUGCCAGCCUGUCCCUCAACCAGAUCUCAUCCACCGGAGAAGAGAUAGAAGGCAAGCAAAGCCUCGAGCCCACUUCCUACGCCCCUCGUCCUGCGCCCGACCCUUCUCACUCUCUCUCCUUCCAGGAGUGUACUCCGGCUUCCUGCCCUGCUUUGGCCCCAGCUUCCUGACUCUGCAUGGGGGUAAAAAGGCCCCUUUCAGGAUCCAGGAAGAAGGCGCUUGUAUUCCCGACUCUGUUAGGGAUGGUUUAGCUUAUCGAGGCCGAGUCUUCCUGGAGUUAAUCACCCAAAUCAAGUCCUAUCAAGACUCCACGAUAAAGGAUCUCUCCCAUGAAGUGACCAGGAUAGAGGGAACAUCUACCAUUAUGUGCCCUGGUACAACACCAAGCCUGUCGUGGCUGUGACCUCCAACUGGGAGGACGUCAGCUUCCGCAUGAACUGCCUCAA